GAUUUCUGGGAUUUCGGCCUUGGUCCGCCGGUUUACGCCGGUUGUGUUUGCCGAGGUUGGGUCUCAUCCUCCCGGAGUGCCUAGCCUGCCCUUUACUGGGUUGGGCUAGUGUGUUCUGGGACUUUUACUUUGAAAAAAUUAGAGUGUUUAAAGCAGGCUUGCGCUAUGAAUACAUUAGCAUGGAAUAAUAAUUUAGGACUUUGGUCUUAUUUUGUUGGUUUCUAGGACUAAAGUAAUGAUUGAUAGGGACAGUUGGGGGUGCUAGUAUUCAGCGGCCAGAGGUGAAAUUCUUGGAUUCGCUGAAGACUAACUUAUGCGAAAGCAUU
Molecule: ribosomal RNA, 326 nt
Filed under: Cercomonadidae sp.
Lineage: Eukaryota; Cercozoa; Cercomonadida; Cercomonadidae
Description: SSU rRNA
Rfam family: Eukaryotic small subunit ribosomal RNA
Source: RNAcentral